This 2427-nucleotide ribosomal RNA is filed under the name Acinetobacter baumannii 25561_7. Its description in RNAcentral is "bacterial LSU rRNA". It matches the Rfam family "Bacterial large subunit ribosomal RNA", at positions 14 to 2477 of the family's 2925-position model. The record is from RNAcentral. Lineage: Bacteria; Pseudomonadati; Pseudomonadota; Gammaproteobacteria; Moraxellales; Moraxellaceae.
AGUGCAUGUGGUGGAUGCCUUGGCAGUCAGAGGCGAUGAAAGACGUGAUAGCCUGCGAAAAGCUCCGGGGAGGCGGCAAAUAUCCUUUGAUCCGGAGAUGUCUGAAUGGGGGAACCCACCUACUUUAAGGUAGGUAUUGCAACAUGAAUACAUAGUGUUGCAAGGCGAACGAGGGGAAGUGAAACAUCUCAGUACCCUUAGGAAAAGAAAUCAAUUGAGAUUCCCUCAGUAGCGGCGAGCGAACGGGGAUCAGCCCAUUAAGUUAUGUGUGUUUUAGUGGAACGCUCUGGGAAGUGCGAACGUAGAGGGUGAUAUUCCCGUACACGAAAGGGCACACAUAAUGAUGACGAGUAGGGCGAGGCACGUGAAACCUUGUCUGAAUAUGGGGGGACCAUCCUCCAAGGCUAAAUACUCCUGACUGACCGAUAGUGAACCAGUACCGUGAGGGAAAGGCGAAAAGAACCCCUGUGAGGGGAGUGAAAUAGAUCCUGAAACCGCAUGCAUACAAGCAGUGGGAGCACCUUCGUGGUGUGACUGCGUACCUUUUGUAUAAUGGGUCAGCGACUUAUAUUCAGUAGCGAGGUUAACCGUAUAGGGGAGCCGUAGAGAAAUCGAGUCUUAAUAGGGCGUUUAGUUGCUGGGUAUAGACCCGAAACCAGGCGAUCUAUCCAUGAGCAGGUUGAAGGUUGGGUAACACUAACUGGAGGACCGAACCCACUGUCGUUGAAAAGCCAGGGGAUGACUUGUGGAUAGGGGUGAAAGGCUAAUCAAGCCUGGUGAUAGCUGGUUCUCCCCGAAAGCUAUUUAGGUAGCGCCUCGGACGAAUACCAUAGGGGGUAGAGCACUGUUUCGGCUAGGGGGUCAUCCCGACUUACCAAACCGAUGCAAACUCCGAAUACCUAUGAGUACUAUCCGGGAGACAGACUGCGGGUGCUAACGUCCGUAGUCAAGAGGAAAACAAUCCAGACCGCCAGCUAAGGCCCCAAAAUCAUAGUUAAGUGGGAAACGAUGUGGGAAGGCAUAGACAGCUAGGAGGUUGGCUUAGAAGCAGCCACCCUUUAAAGAAAGCGUAAUAGCUCACUAGUCGAGUCGGCCUGCGCGGAAGAUGUAACGGGGCUAAAACUAUGUGCCGAAGCUGCGGAUGUAUACUUUGUAUACGUGGUAGGGGAGCGUUCUGUAAGCCGAUGAAGGUGUGUUGAGAAGCAUGCUGGAGGUAUCAGAAGUGCGAAUGCUGACGUGAGUAACGACAAAACGGGUGAAAAACCCGUUCGCCGAAAGACCAAGGGUUCCAGUCCAACGUUAAUCGGGGCUGGGUGAGUCGACCCCUAAGGCGAGGCCGAAAGGCGUAGUCGAUGGGAAAAUGGUUAAUAUUCCAUUACUUCUGUGUAAUGCGAUGAGAGGACGGAGAAGGCUAAAUCAGCCUGGCGUUGGUUGUCCAGGUGAAAGGAUGUAGGCAUGUAUCUUAGGCAAAUCCGGGGUACUCUAUGCUGAGAUCUGAUAGCAAGCUGUACUUGUACAGCGAAGUGGUUGAUGCCAUGCUUCCAGGAAAAGUCUCUAAGCUUCAGUUACACAGGAAUCGUACCCGAAACCGACACAGGUGGUCAGGUCGAGUAGACCAAGGCGCUUGAGAGAACUCUGCUGAAGGAACUAGGCAAAAUGGUACCGUAACUUCGGGAGAAGGUACGCUGUUGUUGGUGAUGGAACUCGCUUCCUGAGCUGACGACAGCCGCAGAAACCAGGCCGCUGCAACUGUUUAUUAAAAACAUAGCACUCUGCAAACACGAAAGUGGACGUAUAGGGUGUGAUGCCUGCCCGGUGCUGGAAGGUUAAUUGAUGGGGUUAGCGUAAGCGAAGCUCUUGAUCGAAGCCCCAGUAAACGGCGGCCGUAACUAUAACGGUCCUAAGGUAGCGAAAUUCCUUGUCGGGUAAGUUCCGACCUGCACGAAUGGCAUAAUGAUGGCGGCGCUGUCUCCAGCAGAGGCUCAGUGAAAUCGAAAUCGCUGUGAAGAUGCAGUGUACCCGCGGCUAGACGGAAAGACCCCGUGAACCUUUACUGCAGCUUGACACUGAACUUUGACCUUACUUGUGUAGGAUAGGUGGGAGGCUUUGAAGCUGGAACGCUAGUUCCAGUGGAGCCGUCCUUGAAAUACCACCCUGGUAAUGUUGAGGUUCUAACUCUGUCCCGUGAUCCGGGACGAGGACCGUGUCUGGUGGGUAGUUUGACUGGGGCGGUCUCCUCCUAAAGAGUAACGGAGGAGUACGAAGGUGCGCUCAGCGUGGUCGGAAAUCACGCGUAGAGUAUAAAGGCAAAAGCGCGCUUAACUGCGAGACCCACAAGUCGAGCAGGUACGAAAGUAGGUCUUAGUGAUCCGGUGGUUCUGUAUGGAAGGGCCAUCGCUCAACGGAUAAAAGGUACUCUGGGGAUAA